Molecule: ribosomal RNA, 440 nt
Filed under: uncultured bacterium
Lineage: Bacteria
Description: partial 16S ribosomal RNA
Rfam family: Bacterial small subunit ribosomal RNA
Source: RNAcentral
CCUACGGGAGGCAGCAGUGGGGAAUAUUGCACAAUGGGGGAAACCCUGAUGCAGCGACGCCGCGUGAGUGAAGAAGUAUCUCGGUACGUAAAGCUCUAUCAGCAGGGAAGAAAAUGACGGUGCCUGACUAAGAAGCCCCGGCUAACUACGUGCCAGCAGCCGCGGCGAUACGAAGGGGGGAAGCGUUGUCCGGAUAUACUGGGGGGAAUAGGAGCGUCGACGGCAGCACAAGUCUGCAGUGAAAUCCCGGGGCUUAACCCCGGAACUGCUUUGGAAACUGUGCGGCUGGAGUGCAGGAGAGGUAAGCGGAAUUCCUAGUGUAGCGGUGAAAUGCGUAGAUAUUAGGAGGAACACCGGUGGCGAAGGCGGCUUACUGGACUGUAACUGACGUUGAGGCUCGAAAGCGUGGGGAGCAAACAGGAUUAGAUACCCCAGUAGUC